AGAAUCAACGCUGGCGGCGUGCCUAACACAUGCAAGUCGAACGAGAAAAGGGAGCAAUCCCUGAGUACAGUGGCGACCGGGUGAGUAACACGUGACUAACCUACCCUCGAGUGUGGAAUAACAUCGGGAAACCGAUGCUAAUACCGCAUAACAUCGCAAGAUCAAAGGAGUAAUCCGCUUGAGGAGGGGUCGCGGCUGAUUAGCUAGUUGGCGGGGUAAUGGCCCACCAAGGCGAAGAUCGGUA
This 244-nucleotide ribosomal RNA is filed under the name uncultured bacterium. Its description in RNAcentral is "partial small subunit ribosomal RNA". It matches the Rfam family "Bacterial small subunit ribosomal RNA", at positions 26 to 285 of the family's 1533-position model. The record is from RNAcentral.